GACGAACGCUGGCGGCGUGCUUAAGACAUGCAAGUCGAGCGCUCCUGAAACAUCGAGGCUUCGGCCUCACCGUUUCAGGGGAGCGGCGGACGGGUGAGUAACGCGUGGGCAACCUGCCCGGGAGACUGGGAUAACACCCCGAAAGGGGUGCUAAUACCGGAUACGAUCCCCCCAUCGCAUGGUGGGGGGAUGAAAGGCGAAAGUCACUCCCGGAUGGGCCCGCGUCCCAUUAGCUAGUUGGUGGGUAACAGCCUACCAAGGCUACGAUGGGUAGCCGGCCUGAGAGGGUGGCCGGCCACACUGGGACUGAGAUACGGCCCAGACUCCUACGGGAGCAGCAGUCGGGAAUCUUGCGCAAUGGGCGAAAGCCUGACGCAGCGACGCCGCGUGGGGGAGGAAGGCGUUUCGGGUUGUAAACCCCUGUCUUCGGGGACGAAAUCUGACGGUACCCGAGGAGGAAGCCCGGCUAACUACGUGCCAGCAGCCGACGGUAAAAUCACGUGUA
This 505-nucleotide ribosomal RNA is filed under the name uncultured bacterium. RNAcentral describes it as "bacterial SSU rRNA". It matches the Rfam family "Bacterial small subunit ribosomal RNA", at positions 28 to 531 of the family's 1533-position model. The record is from RNAcentral.